GACGAACGCUGGCGGCGCGCCUAACACAUGCAAGUCGAACGGAGCUUAGAGAGCUUGCUUUUUAAGCUUAGUGGCGAACGGGUGAGUAACGCGUGAGUAACCUGCCCUAGAGUGGGGGACAACAGUUGGAAACGACUGCUAAUACCGCAUAAGCCCACGGUACCGCAUGGCACUGAGGGAAAAGGAUUUAUUCGCUUUAGGAUGGACUCGCGUCCAAUUAGCUAGUUGGUGAGGUAACGGCCCACCAAGGCGACGAUUGGUAGCCGGACUGAGAGGUUGAACGGCCACAUUGGGACGGAGACACGGCCCAGACUCCUACGGGAGGCAGCAGUGGGGGAUAUUGCACAAUGGGGGAAACCCUGAUGCAGCGACGCCGCGUGGAGGAAGAAGGUUUUCGGAUUGUAAACUCCUGUCGUUAGGGACGAUAAUGACGGUACCUAACAAGAAAGCACCGGCUAACUACGUGCCAGCAGCCGCCGUAA
This 482-nucleotide ribosomal RNA is filed under the name uncultured bacterium. RNAcentral's name for it is "partial 16S ribosomal RNA". It matches the Rfam family "Bacterial small subunit ribosomal RNA", at positions 28 to 523 of the family's 1533-position model. The record is from RNAcentral.